RNAcentral lists this ribosomal RNA (300 nucleotides) under uncultured Desulfurococcus sp. RNAcentral's name for it is "bacterial SSU rRNA". It matches the Rfam family "Bacterial small subunit ribosomal RNA", at positions 496 to 795 of the family's 1533-position model. Lineage: Archaea; Thermoproteati; Thermoproteota; Thermoprotei; Desulfurococcales; Desulfurococcaceae. The record is from RNAcentral.
UCAAACUCAGGGCCGGCGGCGGCGGUAAUACGUAGUGGACGAGCGUUAUCCGUAGUUACUGGGCGUAAAGCUGACUCAGGCGGUGCGGUAAGUCUGACGUGAAAUCUCCUGGCUUAACUGGGAGGGGGCGUUGGAGACUGGCGUGCUUGAGGCGGUGAGAUGGGUGUAGAAUUCCCGGUGUAGUGGUGGAAUGCGUAGAUAUCGGGAGGAAUACCAGUGGCGAAAGCGGCACCCUGGCACUGGCCUGACGCUCAGGUGCGAAGGCGUGGGGAGCGAACGGGAUUAGAUACCCCAGUAGUC